Pectinophora gossypiella (pink bollworm) is the source of this 777-nucleotide long non-coding RNA. RefSeq lists it as uncharacterized. The transcript has 4 exons. The record is from RefSeq and is a predicted model, not a curated record. Lineage: Eukaryota; Metazoa; Arthropoda; Insecta; Lepidoptera; Gelechiidae.
UUGCUUUUUCUUUCACAUUUCUCUGCUUAUUGAAUGACUAUUGCUAACUCAUUAGAUAGAACCUACUUCUCAUAUAAGUAGGUGGAUGCGGCCUCGAUUAGCGGGGGAACCACAUGAAAAAAAGCGAGCUACUGGGUGUACCUCCUGGGUAGUUUGGAAAUCACCUAAUAUAUAUAUGUAUAUAUUUAUAAAUAAAAGUUAAUAUAUAUAAAUUAACAUUAUUUUUUUUUAACAGGAAAUGCACAAUGCUAAAAACUGCGUAGGAGAUUUUAAUACAAUAGUACUACCAAGCCUGAUGUUGGCCGCUAUUUCAAUGAAUGCAGCAGUGUGACAGCCAGCAAUCAAAAGUAACAAGAUAUCGAGGAAAUGCAGAAGGCAAAAAACUGCGUAGGAGAUCAUUAAUACAAUAGUAUUAUAUAAACCAAGCCUGAUGUUGGCCGCUCAUUCAAAGAAUGCAGCAGUGUGACAGCCAGCAAUCAAAAGUAACAAGAUGUCGAGGAAAUGCAGAGUGUAAUAAACUGUGUAGGAGAUUAUGAUUGCAAUAGAAUAAAAUCGACCAAGCCUGAAGUCCUUCAAUGCACGCAGCAGUGUGACAGCCAGCAAUCAAAAGUUACAAUAUAUCGAGGAAAUACAGAAGGCAAAGAAGCAGAUGUCAUCAAAGAAGAUCUUUGUUCCUGAAAUGUUUCCGCAGACGAUACAUCCAACAGAGCGAAGUGGAAGGAAAAGACUCGGAAAAAAGACCCCACCACCAUAUGGGAACAAUGCAAGGGAGAGAGA